RNAcentral lists this small nuclear RNA (118 nucleotides) under Cervus elaphus hippelaphus. Lineage: Eukaryota; Metazoa; Chordata; Mammalia; Artiodactyla; Cervidae. The record is from RNAcentral.
GAGGGGCAGGGUUCUCUCUUGAGAGUGUAGCCAGCUCUUGGUGUUCUGUGCUGCAGUGACCAUUUGCCAUUGAGGACCAUGCUUUUCUUUCCUUGGGAGAUCAUGAGGGAGAAGACAC